This 253-nucleotide ribosomal RNA is filed under the name uncultured bacterium. Its description in RNAcentral is "partial 16S ribosomal RNA". It matches the Rfam family "Bacterial small subunit ribosomal RNA", at positions 524 to 776 of the family's 1533-position model. The record is from RNAcentral.
UACGGAGGGUGCAAGCGUUAAUCGGAAUUACUGGGUGUAAAGCGCGCGUAGGCGGCUUUGUAAGUCGGAUGUGAAAGCCCUGGGCUUAACCUGGGAAUUGCAUUCGAUACUGCUUAGCUAGAGUAUGGUAGAGGGAAGUGGAAUUUCCGGUGUAGCGGUGAAAUGCGUAGAUAUCGGAAGGAACACCGGUGGCGAAAGCGGCGCGCUGGACCCCUUCUGACGCUGAGGCGCGAAAGCCAGGGGAGCAAACGGG